RNAcentral lists this ribosomal RNA (248 nucleotides) under uncultured bacterium. RNAcentral's name for it is "partial 16S ribosomal RNA". It matches the Rfam family "Bacterial small subunit ribosomal RNA", at positions 523 to 769 of the family's 1533-position model. The record is from RNAcentral.
AUACGUAGGGGGCAAGCGUUAUCCGGAUUUACUGGGUGUAAAGGGAGCGUAGACGGAGCUGCAAGUCUGAUGUGAAAGGCUGGGGCUUAACCCCAGGACUGCAUUGGAAACUGUAGAUCUUCGAGUGCCGGAGAGGUAAGCGGAAUUCCUAGUGUAGCGGUGAAAUGCGUAGAUAUUAGGAGGAACACCAGUGGCGAAGGCGGCUUACUGGACGGUAACUGACGUUGAGGCUCGAAAGCGUGGGGAGC